RNAcentral lists this ribosomal RNA (450 nucleotides) under uncultured bacterium. Its description in RNAcentral is "partial 16S ribosomal RNA". It matches the Rfam family "Bacterial small subunit ribosomal RNA", at positions 354 to 796 of the family's 1533-position model. The record is from RNAcentral.
GCUAAGAAUAUUCCGCAAUGGACGAAAGUCUGACGGAGCGACGCCGCGUGGAUGAAGAAGGCCGAAAGGUUGUAAAAUUCUUUUGUCGGGGAAGAAUAAGCGCGGGAGGGAAUGCCCGCGUGAUGACAUGAACCGGCGAAUAAGCCCCGGCUAACUACGUGCCAGCAGCCGCGGUAACACGUAGGGGGCAAGCGGUGUUCGGAAUUACUGGGCGUAAAGGGCAUGUAGGCGGUUUUGUAAGACUGGCGUGAAAGGCUGCAGCUCAACUGUAGCACGGCGCUGGUAACUGCGAGACUUGAGUCACGGAGAGGGAGCUAGAAUUCCAGGUGUAGGGGUGAAAUCUGUAGAUAUCUGGAAGAAUACCAAUGGCGAAGGCAAGCUUCUGGCCGAUGACUGACGCUGAGGUGCGAAAGCGUGGGUAGCAAACAGGAUUAGAUACCCCGGUAGUCC